UUGGAAAAUAGCAAAUAACUACAUAACUUUUUAAGGUGAAGUUCGCCAAUCCUACUGCGAGAGGCAGCAAUAACGUGUGGUUUACAUCCGCAUUGCCGAGAAGAAGAAGGGAGAGUUUGCUUAUCUACGAGUCCUGUCAGUAUCCAUUGUCUUAUUUUUCUGCCGUCUCAGCAUUUUAUGAUGUCAACGGUCUGUGAUCGAUAACCUUCAUCAUGGACAUAAAACAACGGGCCAUUGACAAUCUGAAGGGUCAAGUCGGAAGCGAGUCCUCAGAACCACCUGUACGUCCCAAAGCGUCAGUGUUGAUCCCGCUGUUCAUAAAAAAUGGAGAGUUGUAUGUGUUAUUGACCCUUCGUUCUGAACAGUUGAGGACCAAUGCUGGUGAGGUGUGUUUCCCAGGAGGGAAGAGCGACCCUCAGGAUACAGACGAGAUCCACACAGCCUUGAGAGAGGCCGAGGAGGAGAUAGGCAUACCACCUGAUCAGGUGGAGGUAGUCUGCAGACUACUCGAUCCUAUAGUUAGCAAGGGAGGACUCCUGGUCACUGCGGUCGUGGGAUUCAUAGAUGGGUCAUUUCUUCCACGUCCCAACCCGGCCGAGGUCAGUGAGGUGUUCGCAGUCCCCCUGAACCUGUUCGUCCAGAAGAAGGACCACUCGAUGUUUGGCGCUCCUGGGAUGUUUCUUCACAGUUUCCAGUUUCUUGACUCGGACUCAGGUCGUCAGUAUCGGAUCUAUGGGUUGACGGCCGCUUUUGCGAUAAUAGUUGCUGUUCUUGCUCUCGGUAAAUGGCCGGAGUUUGACAUUGAUCUUGGAAGCGGAUCAUUUGCAGACCGUAUAAAUAGCAGAAUAAAUAGAACAAUGAGUAAAUUAUAAGAUCCUUGAUGGCUGUAAUGGUGCUAAAAGACCGUAUUUAGGCCUCAUUUUAUAUCAUUAUUGUUAAUGUUUGUCUGUAAAGCUGUUGGAUCUUUUUCUCAUGUCUGAGGUAUUACUAAGCUUGCCUACCAAAAGCAAAUUCCACUGUCCUUUGUACUUUGGUCAUUAAAGUAAAUGACUAUUUUAUAUAUAUAUCCAGUAAUAUGCAUAUGUUUGCUUGAAUACAAAGUGAUCUACCUGGCUACCACAUAGGACCUACCUAUUGCAAAUAUUCCCCAGCCCAGAUAUUAUAAAACACCAGACAGUUGAAAUCUGUAUUCAGUCAUUUAAUGUAGCAGCGAGAUUACAGAUAUAAACAGAAGGGUAUACAAACGACCAGACAAAGGCAAAUAACAUGUUAAUUAGGAUGUUUUAUAACACUAAGGUUGACCUUUACUCCUAUUGCUGGGCCGGAAGGCUAGAUACGAAAGCUGAAACUACACGGAACGGGUACGAUAUAUUUGACUGUUA
RNA transcript from Gadus macrocephalus (Pacific cod), 1382 nucleotides. It is a transcript of the gene named nudix (nucleoside diphosphate linked moiety X)-type motif 7, with no coding region annotated. The transcript is spliced from 4 exons. The record is from RefSeq and is a predicted model, not a curated record. NCBI's taxonomy places the organism in Eukaryota, Metazoa, Chordata, Actinopteri, Gadiformes, Gadidae.